Molecule: ribosomal RNA, 120 nt
Filed under: Danio rerio (zebrafish)
Lineage: Eukaryota; Metazoa; Chordata; Actinopteri; Cypriniformes; Danionidae
Source: RNAcentral
AUAAACAGCCAUAUCACCCUGCCGCCCAAGGCCAGUUGCUCAUUAAAGCUAAGCAUGGCUGAGCCUGGCCAGUACCUGGAUGGGAGCCCGCAUAGGAAAACUGUUGGAAGUGGUGUUAUG